Long non-coding RNA from Daphnia pulex (common water flea), 682 nucleotides. RefSeq lists it as uncharacterized. The record is from RefSeq and is a predicted model, not a curated record. The transcript has 2 exons. Lineage: Eukaryota; Metazoa; Arthropoda; Branchiopoda; Diplostraca; Daphniidae.
UUUAAAAGAAGUUUGAAAGAAAGCUGGAAAAAGAAUUUUUUAUGCCUUGAUCUGAAACAAGACGAAUUUCAUCUCUACGUCGCAAUUUUGCCAAAACGAGAUACAGAAGACGACUAUACUAUUUUUUUGAACUAUUGCUGAAAGCGAGAAAGUUUUUCACAGGUGUUCUUUGACGGCGGAGUAUAUAAAGGGCAUACCAUGUUGAUUUUCAUCAGACGGCAUUUGGCUUCAAUCAAUAAUAUAGAAGAAAAUAAUAAAAAUCUUUUCAACAUGAACAAGGUCAUCUUUAUUCUUGCUGUCUUCGUUGCCGUAUGCGUCCUAAUAGUUUCAUCGCAGCAUCAGUACACGGAAAGCUACCCCGUUAUUAAAUAUCGCCAAGCUAGAUUCAUUCGUGACGUUGAAUCUCAGAGCGCGCUACAGAGAAAUAGAUUUCCUGGAUGGCUUUAUGGUUAAUUUGUUUGCACGACCCUAGGUAGCAUUUGAUAUAAUUUUGAUGUCAUUUUCAUAUUCUUAUGCCAUUUCCACAUCCAUGUCAUGCUUUCGGCACAUAACUGACAUGAUUUUUUUAGACAUCUUAUACAUGAUACGUAUUUGACAUAUUUUUUAUAUUGCAUUAUGAGAUAUAACAUUUCUGAUAUCCUAAUGAUGUGAAGUUUUAUGUCAAUAAAUUGAUAACACACUC